UACGUAGGGGGCAAGCGUUGUCCGGAUUACUGGGCGUAAAGCGCACGCAGGCGGUCUUUUAAGUUUGGAGUGACAGUUGGUGGCUUAACUGCCAAAGUGCUUCGAAAACUGAGAGACUUGAGGGCUUCAGAGGGACACGGAAUUCCGGGUGGAGUGGUGAAAUGCGUAGAUAUCAGGAGGAAUACCGAUGGCGAAGGCAGGUCUCUGGGCUAUAACUGAC
RNAcentral lists this ribosomal RNA (220 nucleotides) under uncultured bacterium. RNAcentral describes it as "partial 16S ribosomal RNA". It matches the Rfam family "Bacterial small subunit ribosomal RNA", at positions 524 to 744 of the family's 1533-position model. The record is from RNAcentral.